GCCGGCCUUCUGACCUAGUGCGCGCACGCGUCCGAUAAGCGCGUACACGUCGGUUCGAUUCCGACCAGGGGCACCA
Molecule: transfer RNA, 76 nt
Filed under: Xanthomonas campestris
Lineage: Bacteria; Pseudomonadati; Pseudomonadota; Gammaproteobacteria; Lysobacterales; Lysobacteraceae
Also listed under: 2 other names
Description: tRNA-Ile
Source: RNAcentral